CAAACCAAAGCUGGCGACCGGCGCACGGGUGAGUAACACGUAUCCAACCUGCCUCAUACUCGGGGAUAGCCUUUCGAAAGAAAGAUUAAUAUCCGAUAGCAUAUAUUUCCCACAUGGGUUUUAUAUUAAAGAAAUUCGGUAUGAGAUGGGGAUGCGUUCCAUUAGUUUGUUGGGGGGGUAACGGCCCACCAAGACUACGAUGGAUAGGGGUUCUGAGAGGAAGGUCCCCCACAUUGGAACUGAGACACGGUCCAA
This 255-nucleotide ribosomal RNA is filed under the name uncultured bacterium. RNAcentral's name for it is "partial 16S ribosomal RNA". It matches the Rfam family "Bacterial small subunit ribosomal RNA", at positions 74 to 334 of the family's 1533-position model. The record is from RNAcentral.